Molecule: ribosomal RNA, 465 nt
Filed under: uncultured bacterium
Lineage: Bacteria
Description: partial 16S ribosomal RNA
Rfam family: Bacterial small subunit ribosomal RNA
Source: RNAcentral
GACGAACGCUGGCGGCGUGCUUAACACAUGCAAGUCGAACGGAAAGGCCCUGCUUGCAGGGUACUCGAGUGGCGAACGGGUGAGUAACACGUGGGUGAUCUGCCCUGCACUUCGGGAUAAGCCUGGGAAACUGGGUCUAAUACCGGAUAGGAGCCAUUUUUAGUGGGUUGGUUGGAAAGUUUUUUGGGUGUAGGAUGAGCUAGCGGCCUAUCAGCUUGUUGGUGGGGUAAUGGCCUACCAAGGCGGCAACGGGUAGCCGGCCUGCGGGGGUGAACGGCCACAUUGGGACUGAGAUGCGGCCCAGACUCCUACGGGAGGCAGCAGUGGGGAAGCUUGCACAAUGGGCGCAAGCCUGAUGCAGCGAGGCCGCGGGGGGGAUGACGGCCUUCUGGUUGUAAACACCUUUCGCUAGGGACGAAGCUUGUUGUGACGGUACCUAGAGAAGAAGCACCGGCUAACUACGUG